CAAAGGUUUGGUCCUAGCCUUAACAUCAGCCUUAGCCCUACCUACACAUGCAAGUCUCCGCACCCCUGUGAGAAUGCCCCCAACUUCCCAAACGGAAGUAGGGAGCCGGCAUCAGGCACAAUAACUUUAGCCCAAGACGCCUUGCUCAGCCACUCCCCCAAGGGAACUCAGCAGUGACAAACAUUAAGCCAUAAGUGAAAACUUGACUUAGUUCAGGCUAAGAGGGCCGGUAAAACUCGUGCCAGCCACCGCGGUUAUACGAGAGGCCCUAGUUGAUUUACACGGCGUAAAGAGUGGUUAUGGAAACUUUACACUAAAGCUGAAAGCCCCUCUAACUGUCAUACGCACUCAAGGGCCAGAAAAACACUCAUACGAAAGUAGCUUUAUCAAUGACAACCAGAACCCACGACAGCUGGGGCACAAACUGGGAUUAGAUACCCCACUAUGCCCAGCCAUAAACUUAGAUGUCCUUAUACAAUCAGCAUCCGCCAGGGAACUACGAGCACCAGCUUAAAACCCAAAGGACUUGGCGGUGUCUCAGACCCCCCUAGAGGAGCCUGUUCUAGAACCGAUAACCCCCGUUCAACCUCACCACUUCUUGCCCUUUCCGCCUAUAUACCACCGUCGCCAGCUUACCCUGUGAAGGGAAAAAAGUAAGCAAAAUGGAAAUUCCCCAAAACGUCAGGUCGAGGUGUAGCACACGAAGUGGGAAGAAAUGGGCUACAUUGCCUGCCACAGGCUACUCACGGAAAGUCACCUGAAACGGUUACUCGAAGGUGGAUUUAGCAGUAAGAAAGAAAUAGAGCGUCUUUCUGAAGCCGGCCCUGAGACGCGCACACACCGCCCGUCACUCUCCCCAACAACUAUACAUCAAAGUAAAUAACACCACAAAAUCUCAUAAGGGGAGGCAAGUCGUAACAUGGUAAGUGUACCGGAAGGUGCACUUGGAAUAAC
RNAcentral lists this non-coding RNA (954 nucleotides) under Lycothrissa crocodilus (sabretoothed thryssa). RNAcentral's name for it is "12S rRNA". It matches the Rfam family "Bacterial small subunit ribosomal RNA". Lineage: Eukaryota; Metazoa; Chordata; Actinopteri; Clupeiformes; Engraulidae. The record is from RNAcentral.